Molecule: ribosomal RNA, 244 nt
Filed under: uncultured bacterium
Lineage: Bacteria
Description: partial 16S ribosomal RNA
Rfam family: Bacterial small subunit ribosomal RNA
Source: RNAcentral
CGGACCGGCGCACGGGUGAGUAACGCGUAUGCAACCUACCUAUCAGGAGGGGAUAACCCGGCGAAAGUCGGACUAAUACCGCAUAAAACAGGGGUUCCACAUGGAAAUAUUUGUUAAAGAUUUAUCGCUGAUAGAUGGGCAUGCGUUCCAUUAGAUAGUUGGUGAGGUAACGGCUCACCAAGUCUACGAUGGAUAGGGGUUCUGAGAGGAAGGUCCCCCACACUGGUACUGAGACACGGACCAG